AAGUUCAGUUUAAUAUACUUUAUUCAAUAAAAAUCCAAUCUGUGCCAAAAGAGGUGCCAGUCAUGCUGCGAGCCGGCUACCCAACCCCACUCCCCUGGGGGGUCGAAGAGGGCGGGAAGGGGGAGGUAGGAUUUUACCAAUGCUCUGUCCAGCGUCAAGGUGUUCUCUCACCCCCUGGCACCAUUCCGAAACAGUGGCCGAAACAUGUCUCGUGUGGCCAAUGAGAGACAUGAUAAGCGAUCGAACAGAAACGGUCACAUAUUGAAAGGUCCGAAACAGUCUAAUUGGUCAGCAGUGCUGACAAAUAUUCCAAACAUAGUCCGAAUUAAGCCGAAACAGAAUUUAGUCUUUGGCAAUGAGCUACCUAAGAAAUAACAAACCUAAGACAAACUACUAGUAACUAUUCCUCAUCUUCUAUACACCUGUCCCAAGCUAUCCUAGUUUUCACCUGCAGAAGAAAGACAGGAAACUUUCCCAGGACCACACUAUUUCCUAUACAGAACAAACAAGAAAGGGAACAGGCAUACGCAGAAACAGACAAUCCUUAAUAGAUGUGUAGAUUGUACAACAAAUGUAGCUAUACAGCCAAAACAUGAAAAAAUAAAUAGCCAGGAGUACAAAAUUUGAGACAAAACCUCAAAGAAUUUGACUGAAUGAACGGAUAAAUAAAACACCAAAAAAAAAGUUACCAGCUUAGCAUGACUUGUGAUCAUCUAGUUGGUUUAUGAUGGGUUACCUACAAGAGAAGGGAGGGAACAGCAAAAAACAAACAUCCAAAGAAAAAACAAAACGAAAUGGGGAUGUAUCAGAAACGGUCAGGCACAGGGAGAAAGCACCAGUAAGUGUAACCUUGUAUGCAGAGCAGCCAAUCACAACUGGACAGAUGAUGCAUUUCCACAGGCUACCCUUCUAGAGUCUAGAGAAAAAGGUCAACAGGUUAAAAGCCCCUCCCCCACCCCGUCAGCACGCAACCUUUAUUCGUGGUAUUCAAAAUAUAAGCAUGUUAGCUAAUUUAAGUACACAAAGCGAGACCCAAAGUGCGUAACCAUGAUACGAAAGUAAAAUUUGUAUCUAACUUUUAACGAAAAGACAACCAGAAACUAUGAAAAUGAUGAGCAGAGGUUACCCGAGUAUGGCCAAGUCCUUGCAAAGUAUGGCGCAGUAGCAACAGCACUUAGGGAGUUACCUGAAAAUACAUCAAUACUUCCCCCAACCACAAACAUGUUUGUUACCGUGAACUGAAACUAAUUAAUACUUUAUUACUUAUUAUUGCAUUAAAUUACUUUAUAUGGAGUUUAUCUGAAGUGAUAAAAUAAAUGUUAUCAGAAUUUUGACCUGUUAUCUUCUUUGCCUUUUCUGUGUCUUCUGAAGCAUCUCUCGUCACCUGUAUAAAAUGAACUCAAGAGGUUGUCGGCCCCUCCCCACUUCCCCCAGAAAAGCACGAAAAAGUUUGAAACAUUGGGAGUAAAAUUUUUGGCUCACUGAGAUGUCUCUUCAUAGCUUUCUGUCCUUGGUCAUUUCUUGAUGUUUUUUUAUGGCGGUCUGUAAACACAGCCUGACUACCUUGCCUCCUAGUGUGUCACUCCAUCUUCAGCUUGCACUUUUUUCUUAAUCAUGGGCCUUGCUUGAAAUCCUCGCCAAUCUUGAUUUAUGGUGGCCUGAAAAUACAAACUAGGAAACCUUGUUUCCCCCCUCCCCAAUGUGGAAAUGGUUCAAGACAUCAAAAUGGCUCACAUCAAACUUGGAACGGGUUGUUCUUCACUUUGGGGCUGCAAAUCCUGGUCACUAUAUGCACUGCACUCUGAAAAAGCAACUGUAGAACACUUGUCUUCUUCCCCCCCUUCCCAAUGUGGCAAAGAUGGAAAUUCUAGAUGUGCAAAGACUUUUUGCUCACUUCAUCCUUCAGUUGUAACUUGUUUCUUCACUGGUAGUAACUUAUUUCUUGUCUUGCUAUCUUCAGUUGUGUUCUGAAAAAUAACUAGUGGGAUUUGUUUCCCCCCCUUUUCCCAAUAUGACAAGAGGUAAAAACUUUUUGGAAGUUUUGCUUACUCUUUCUUCUGGUUGUUUCUUCUGUCUUGGUUCUUGCUUGUUAUCUUCAGUUAUGGUAGUCUGAAAAAUAACUGUAGAGAGCUUUGUCUCCCCCCGUUUCCCAAUAUGACAAGGGAUAAAAAUUUUUAUGGAUGUUUCGCUCACUCUUUCUUCUUGUUGCAACUGGUUAUUCUUCUCUCUUUCCUUGCUUGUUAUCUUCAUGAAAAUUCAUCGUGUUUGGUCAUCUGAAAAUACACUAAAACAGCCUGUCCAUCCCCCCAAGCUUCCCUGGUUGCAGAGAUCACGAAAAUGUUUUGCAUUUCUUCAUACAUGUAUCUUCAAGUAAGGUAACCAUCUGACCACUUUCUUCAACAGCCUUCUUCUGAUGGGACUGCCCACUCUUCCUUUUGUCAUACUGCUGAACUGUCGACAUUUAAAAGCCCCCCUCCCCAAUCAUCUAUAUUGGAUGCAAGGUGCAGUUAAAUACAGAAAGAGGGCUUAACACAUUGGAAACAAAAAUUGUGCGCAUUAGGAAAGUUGCCUUUAGAACUAAGGACUUAAGUCAGUUAUUGAGUACUUGUACUGCAACACUGUAGUCUAAGGAAAAACCAGAGAAAACCUGAUCAAUCUUGCCUUCUUGAUACUGGAAAACUUUCACGUUUGAUGCCAGAACUCGUAGAAAAACUUAGCCUUGUCCAUUCUUUAAUGAUCUUGAGCUCCUACAGUUAGGACUUGAAACCACCUCCCUGUAUUCUUGGGUCUUCUCAUCCUGUGGGUACUUGGAAUAAUGGAAACAACAAUUUGAGAACAGUGCCCCCCUCCCCAAUAUGGAGAAAUUUGGAAAGCAAUCUUGAUUGGAACCUUGAAUGUAUCUCUUGGCUCUUAAGGCUUGGUUUCUUGGGUGUUCCUUUCUUGACUCAUACCAAUUCUAAAACAACUCCAGGAUCCCCCGUCUGGUCUGGAAGUCAGAACUUGCAAGCAGCAUGGAUUUGGCAGAUGAUGCACAGCCUAGGCUAGCUCCCUUCUCUUGGGUCUGUUCCUUUCUUCAGUUUCAAGAGACCUGAAAAAGUAACCUCAAAACACUUUGCCCCUCUUCCCCAGCAAGAGAACAAAAAUUUCCGUUCCUUUCACUGCAACAAAUUUUCCUUAUUCAGUCAAGAGGUUGGAAUAACCAAAUGUCAAUUGUACCAACACAAAUUCAUUUAAGAAUGGCUCAACUUGCCUCUCCACAAAUGAGAACACUGGUUCUGCAGGAGUACAAAAUGUUUGCUUAGACUGCAAAAGCUUGCUCACUUGUCCUUUUCUUCACCUUGAGGCCUGUCUUCAUCUUGUCCAAAUAGCACCUAAACCUCAAUGAACCUGGUCCAUCUGCAACAAGAACUAAAGACCGUUGCCCCCCUUAAAACCCUAAAUAGGAAAAAUUGAGACUACAGCAAUCCAAAAGUGCUUACGACUCAAGCGCCAUCGACUGGAAAAUAACAUUUCUGCUGUCUGCAGCUCAAAUUCACCUUGGGUUAUCUAUGUGAAGGGGGAAAAAAAGAAUUUAAUCUCCCCCCCACCCCAAUAACGUUCUCUGUUUCAAAAACAAUUGACACAUAAAACGUCUUCAAAACUUAAUGUUGAUAUCAACCUUUUUUAAAAGUGUAACAAGAGAUAUACAAAAACCAAGUAAAAAGGCUCUAUUGGACAAAACAAGCUUGUUACCAGCUAACAGCAUGGUGGUAGUCCAAGAAUAGUGCAGUACCCAAUAGUCACAGCAGAUUGAUGCAAACCUAUAGAAGGAAAAAAACAGUAACACUACCCAACCCCCCCUAAAUAAAUCCAGUAAUUCAUGUCACAACUAGAACUAUUUGGUUUUUACUCCAUGAGUUUGUACAUGAGUCAGUAUUACAGACAAAACAGGUAUUGCAGGAGAGUAUUUAACACUCGCAGGUGCAAAUAAGAGUUAAAUAACACAAGGGGCAUCUACAAAAAUUAAGAUAUUCUUACUACAUGCAACUUUUGCAAACAACUUUCAGAAAAAUUAACACUUACUAGCUUGACCCCAAAGCACUACAGUGGAAACACUGGUCUUUCGUAUUAGACUAGCUGAACCUGCAGGAAUGUAAUGUUUGCAACAUACACACAAAAACAUAUUGCGUUCACACUUAAAGCUCAAGGCCAACCUUUUUCUAUACAAGUUUGCACAUUAACAUCAAACAUUGAUCUGUAUCAACCACGCAUAUCCAGUUUUACACUUGAAUUUGCUCAAUUCAUUGUAUUAUUACAACCCAUAAGAUUUGUCAGUAUACAACACUUUUAGGUCAUCACUUCCUUUUAAGUAUACAUGUAUAAACAAAUACCCUGAUUGCCGUUAUGAAGAACUUGGUUACCCUGGUUGCCUUAGAACAGUAGUCACAUUACCACAGUUGCCCACAGUUCCUAACGCACAUUCUGGUCUACUACAGCAUAGCAGGAGUGCUUUCAUCUUGCAUAGACCUGUAUCAAGCGCACUUCAAAAACACACAACCAAAACACAAUGCAAGAAUCUGACAGAUUUACAGAGUGUAAAUGCACAAUACUAACAAUAAGACUUUGAAAAACAAAAAGGUGCAACACCCCUAUAUGUACAAUUCAUAUAUGGAUCCUACAGAUUAAAACAAUCUAAAAAAAUUGUUCAGCUGGCAUUUGAAAGUGCAGCCUUCUAAACAUAUUGUCAUACCGUGCUCUAUGAUCCUCUCUAAAACCUCACAACCACGGCUCCUGUAGGCAGGCAUGUGUUGUGUACAGCGCGCAAGUAGCGGGUACCUGUAAUACCAUCAACAACAUCCCCCCAACAUAGCAACCCCCAAUAACUAUUUUAUUACACCAUCAAAAUGCUUCUCAUCGGAAAACAUGUUUCCAGCAAACAAAAAAUUCUUACGAUUUCUUUUUUCAUUCAAUGCAAUGCUGUUGAUUUCAACCCAGGAUUGGAUUCUAUGUCCUAACAGAAAACUUGUUUCAAACUACCGGUUAUCGAUAUACAUAUACUUUAUUUCUUAACAAAAGUUCUGACCAGUAAGGUUUAAAACUUAUUGUACUUGUCAUACCAUACUUAAUAACAAAGUUAUAACCAAUGUUUUACAAAGACUUGCCUUACACUACCGAAACAGGAGUCCCUCUUGAAGACCUGGACCAUUCUUGCUGAUGAUAACCUUUCCUCUUGGGCCUGGUAGCCAAUAUCCAGACCUCUGCAAAGGCAAUUUAAAAAAUCCCCUCCCCACACAAAACAUGUUUGUGAACCCAACCAUUAAGUUUAAUAAAACUAACUAUCACAAAAAUAUGUAAUGCAAAGACAAUCUGUCUUGCUAUGAGGUUGAUACCCUUCUACAGGUUUUCUUGAUCAUACACAACUUUUCAGAUCAUACACGACUUUUCAGAUCAUACAAGACUUUUCAGAUCAUACACGACUUUUCAGAUCAUACUUUCAAGAUCAUACAUGACUUUUCAGACACAGGUACAGUCAACACAUUUCAUGACAGGUAAAGACAAAACACAUUGUUGCCCACUACCUUUAAGAGUUACGGCACAUCACAGGUGCAUAGACUUGUUCAGUUUCAGAGUGACAGUAUUAUCUUUUGAAGUGCAAAGACUUGCCAGGUCUAUACUUGAUCAUGGCAGGGACAGCUGGGCUGAACAGUCAGGACAGUAGCAGAGACUCGCUCACACUUUUGGAAACCUUCCUCCUGAAUGGGGCUGACAAACUCCUGGCCAAGGGGGUCCACUGGACUUCCCCCAUCAUACCAACUACCCUGGAAAAAGCAAGCUUGACAUUUCCCCUCCCUGUAUCCCCCAAAACACCAUAUACCAUCUACACUACGAUACAAAAAGUAGUAACCAUGCAAAAGACAAAACAACAGCAUAAGCCUUGAUGACAAACGUACCAACAUAAAGUUUGACAAUGUAAUGUUUAAAAUUGCUGUACUUUGUUCAAGAUUGAUGGUGCUUGCAAAACAGAUGCGCAUUUACAGUAGUUACAUGCUGACAUUUCUGAACUCUUUAGUUACUAGUAUACAGAUUAUAGUUAUGAUGUGACAUGGUUUAAAAAUGUAGUUAUAUCCAUACACAACGCUUGUUAUGGUAGAAAGAACUGUUUAACAGAAGACAUACAGUACUUAACUACAAUGGAAUGGUUUGCGUGCAUACCAUAAGUCUCUCUUCUACCGCAGCAAGAGUACAUGAACAGCGAUACUCUGGAUAUGCAAGGUUUGGAGUGCAUGUUUGGGAGACAACCUAUUUCUGCAGUAACAGCAAGGGGAAGAAAACAGCCGCAAAAAUCCCCAACACAACACAACCCGGGAAAGAUAAUAAACAGAAAUACACAGGGCAAUGACAGUUACUUCAAAGCAAAAGAUGAUUGGAUAUAGUUAACUCCACAUAGCAUAUAGGAUUUGUUAUAAAAUAAAAAUUGGCAAAGUGUCAGCCUAGGUUUGUAGUAAUGCGCGAAACGACGUUACCCCACGGAGAAUGAGAUGGGCAGUGGUUUAGCGGAGAUGGACCAUGUUAUUGGAUCGCGAUGACAGUUGUGCUGCACGGAGAACACGGUUUAUGUGAAGAUGCACGAGAGGUCACAGGCGCUGCUUGCCUAGGGAAAGACUAGGAAGACAGAUGUUUGCAACAACCACCCCCCCUCAGCAAAGUCUCAAAUAUUGCACAGUAUUGCAAAUACCAAGUACUUUGUUUGGUUCUUCUAUGCAUCUACAGCAAUCCCUCAUUCCAUCCUUCAAUUUUCCUUCCAUUCAAUUCAAAGCAUACAAGAUUUAUUUGUGACAAAAGCUAGAAACGACAGCUUAAGUAAAUGCAUAGUAGUACAUAUAUGCAUAGUAGUACAUAUAUAAACCUGGAUAUGUCUGCAGGACAAGUUGCGCAAAGUGCAGAUAAAGGCUUGACGUCAUGCUUAUGCCAGCUGACAUGGACUGCAAGACUCGCGUGAAGGGUUUAGGUGGUCUGGUGAUGCCGUUUGGUCAGGAAAAAUGCACAAUCUUAGCGGCAGCCAUCCUAAAAUCUUGACAAGGGGGAGAACAGAAGACAUAAAACCCACCCCAACCCCAAAGACAAGGCAGAAACACAAGUGCUGCUUCAACACAAGUAGAUAAAACCUUCAUCACAUCUACAGAAGUGCAUUUUAGUAGAAAAAUACGUAAUCACUACAAGAUCUCAACACCAUAUUACACGAAGGUGCAUUGAAUUGCAAAGUAUAUUAAAAGAAAUGUUACUUCAGAGCACACUAUUGCAGAUCUUGGAAAGGGUGGGGCUUGUUAUAACAUUAUUUAAAGAAAUCACAAUACCAAGCGUUUGUGCGUUUGUCAGCAGGGACACGCAGGCAACAGACUUCAGAAUCAGAGUGGAGAGGGUUGACAGAUGGUUUGCUGGUAUUUACGCUUUUAUCCUACACGACUGUGAAGUUGGCGACUGUAGUGAGGACUGUGGAGACUUGUACAGCUCAAGGGCUUGACAGGUAUGUUGUGUGAAGACAGAGGUUCCCCUGUAGAUCCCCUCUUUAGUGAGUUUCCGAAACCUGUAACAAAGUCUAGGGAAACACGGAAGAACCCACCCCUCCCCACCAAAACAUGAAGCAAA
Molecule: long non-coding RNA, 7626 nt
Organism: Branchiostoma floridae (Florida lancelet)
Lineage: Eukaryota; Metazoa; Chordata; Leptocardii; Amphioxiformes; Branchiostomatidae
Exons: 2
Source: RefSeq, a predicted model, not a curated record